AGUGAACGCUGGCGGUAGGCCUAACACAUGCAAGUCGAACGGCAGCACAGUAAGAGCUUGCUCUUACGGGUGGCGAGUGGCGGACGGGUGAGGAAUACAUCGGAAUCUACUUUUUCGUGGGGGAUAACGUAGGGAAACUUACGCUAAUACCGCAUACGACCUACGGGUGAAAGCAGGGGAUCUUCGGACCUUGCGCGAUUGAAUGAGCCGAUGUCGGAUUAGCUAGUUGGCGGGGUAAAGGCCCACCAAGGCGACGAUCCGUAGCUGGUCUGAGAGGAUGAUCAGCAAAACUGCAACUGGGACAGGGCCCAAACUCCUACGGGAGGCACAAGUGGGAAAUAUUGGACAAUGGGCGAAAGCCUGACCCAGCCAUACCGCGUGGUGAAGAAGGCCUUCGGGUUGUAAAGCCCUUUUGUUGGGAAAGAAAAGCAGCAGGUUAAUACCCCGCUGUUCUGACGGUACCCAAAGAAUAAGCACCGGCUAACUUCGUG
RNAcentral lists this ribosomal RNA (491 nucleotides) under uncultured bacterium. Its description in RNAcentral is "partial 16S ribosomal RNA". It matches the Rfam family "Bacterial small subunit ribosomal RNA", at positions 29 to 507 of the family's 1533-position model. The record is from RNAcentral.